Long non-coding RNA from Prinia subflava (tawny-flanked prinia), 4140 nucleotides. RefSeq lists it as uncharacterized. The transcript has 3 exons. Lineage: Eukaryota; Metazoa; Chordata; Aves; Passeriformes; Cisticolidae. The record is from RefSeq and is a predicted model, not a curated record.
CGCCUCCCCGCCCACCCUGCACCCUCCGCACCGCCUGCCGCGCUACGCGAGCCCGGGGAUGCAGGCCGGGCCUGGCUUACCUUUCCAGCUGCUUUUUUUUCCCUCCUCUCUCUCCUCUCCCCCCUUUCCCUCUGUUGGGCUGACAGAUCAGAGUUUCCUCCCCAGCAGAGGGACUGGGAAUGUGCUCGGGCUCUGUGCUGAGGAGCUGCUGCCCCCCUGUCUCUGAGAAGAUCCUGCUUUUUGUGGGGAGGAAGCUUUGGGGGCUCUUUAUUAUUUUAAAACUACAAAGUGCUCAGAGGGUAGGUGAUUAUUAAGGGGAAUCCCUGAAUAUAUUCUCCAGCAAAGAAGGCAGGGCUGCUGGGGCUGCUCAAGAAGAGAGCCAGCAGCCUCCUAUAGCACCACUACAGGCACCGAGAGGACAUAACAUCAGAGAGCGGCUCCACUGCCCUCCAAAACAACAACUUUCCUACCAUCUUGGAGGUAGUAGAGAGGGAGAGAGGGAGGGGGAAAAAAGUACAGAAGGUUUUUAUAAAGUGACAAUUUAGAGGAGGAAGCCAGAUGGCCAAAACAAAAUAUUUUUUCAUUUGUGUGACUUUUUAUUUUAAAUAAAAAUGAAAUAUAAAGGCUCGUGGCUGAAGAUUUUUUUAAAAUAACCUGUAAAGAGCAGCUCUCUGGAAAAAAAAAUUUAAAAGUCUUAGUAAACAGCUGAGAUUGAUGUUGGAUAGUUUGGCGUAACUGUACCAUAACGUCUUUCUCUCUCUGAAGGCAUUGUAAAUCAAAUUGGAUAUACAGAUACUGACUUUAAUCGGAUUACUUGCCUGCCUAAAUUUGAGCAUGCAUCAUAGUAGUGCGCAUAUUUUGGUGACAUCCUGAGAUCUGUUUGAUGCAUUUUAAUUAUGAAACCAGAAGCUUAAUGCCAAGCAAAAGGAGAAACAUUUUGAAUCUGGAAGUUUGGAAUAGGAAAAUUUGAAAUGGGAUGCUUUUGGUAUCUUGUACAAAAAAAAAUUCAAUCUUUUUUAAGGAGGAGAAAGUAAAGAGGAAAUUUUUGCCAAAUCUUGGUUGUGUGGACUAUUGUGUAGUCAUUCAACAGAGAAAUGAAAAUUUGUACUUUAUGAAUAGGUAAGUUUAUUUAACAAAACUUUAUUUACCUGAAAAUAAUUUGCUUUUCACUGAUUUACUAAGAGAUGCAAAUAUCAUUUUAAUUGUUUUGCUGAAAAUAAGAUGUUACAUGUAACAACCUAAAGGAGCAGUCUGCUAGCUUUAGUAAUGUAGAAUGAAAUUAUUUUUAAAAAAAGAUUUGCUUAUCUUAAUGGAGAAGACUCCUUAGUUGGGACAUAGAUUAUUUUGAUGGGUAGAGCAGUGCUCAGAAAUUACACUGGAGAACAAAUUGGACUCUGAAACUUCUGUACAAGGACAAUGUGUAAACCUAAAGCACAAAAGGUCCCCUGUCCAGCAUUCAGAAUUGUGUUCUGGAACUUCCAUUUCUUCAGAAUGGGUCUGUCUGCCUCGAUUUAAAUCGGCCUCGCCCCUGGACCAACUGCUCCAAACUCCCUGUACACUUGGGCACAGAGUGGUCAGAGAACAUUAAAGUUCUGUAAAUCACAGCCUUGUGGCUAAUGGGGCAUUCUGUGCCCAUGUGUCUCACUGGUGUUCGGAAUGAGACAGAGGGCAGUGACGCAGAGAAUAAGCUUUGUGAGUCUAAUAAAGCAAUGAAAGAGGUGCUUUAGGCUGUACACCAGUGCCUGCAGGAGGCUGCAUCAAGAAAUGAACCUUGACUCUCUCCCAAGGUCGUGCGCACCCUGAGCGCAGACCUCAAGAAUUUUUGGAGCAUGACUUAGGCUCUGUGCGUGUGAUGAAGACUCUUGGGUUUUCCACAAGUAGUGUUAUAAUGUUGGCAUCUUGGUAUUACUUUUUGAAAGACACAUACUGAGGAAACAGUUCCAAUGUCUUCAAAUGCUUGUGAAAGAGAUUAGCAAUUUAUUUAAAAGCAGGUGAAUGUUGUGAAGGGGAAGAACAACUCUAAGUGUAUUAGAUGUUAAUUCAAGAUUUUCAUAUCAGAAGAGCCACAUUUGUAUAGAAGAUCUUGUCUUUAGGCAUUUAAAGACUGAAAAGGGUGAGAAAUUAAAUAACCCCAAAAUUAUGAUAUAUUCUUCUAAGCAAUGUCUUGAGCAGCUGUGAUGUGGUAUUAGUUGGUGUAAUAGUGGCAAGUUCUGGGGUAAAGCUAACCAUUAAAUCCCAACAUAUCACUAUUAUGGAAAAAUGCUUAUUUUUCAACAAUUCUUUAACAUGGAAAUUUUAUAGCAGUGGUUGAAUCUGAGUUUCAGUUACUCUGCUGUAGUUGUAUGUUUUUGAUAACCAGCAUGCUUUUUGCCACUUUUCCAAACCGCAGAGUUCUUAUGUCAAAAACCCUGUCUAUGAUCUGAGGAUUUUUCUCUAGGAAAUAUACCCCAGUUAUGGCAUAAAUUGAGCUCCUUAAUUCAGCUACUAAACUCUUUCAAACCCGUGCUUCAGUGCACUCCUGCGUGGCAGAUAGCACAGCAGAAGCUACAGGACAAGCCAUAUGUACAACAGGGUAACUUUGCCUGAUUGUGUUUAAAGCCCCAAAUGCCAGCAAAGCAGCACGAAGUACACAUGACCAGCCUUGUUUUCCUGAGUCUUGGGGACUUCGUUAAAGCUUUUUUCAGCAAUGGGAGUUUUGCUGUGGGUUUCAGUAGGAGUAUAGCUGCAGAAGUAUUUAACCAAUUGGGAGCAGAUGUAUGCUAGCUAUUACAUGAUAAUAUAAUUAAUUGAUAGUGAACUGUACUGAAAAUGGUAAUUAACUGAGACUUCACUAAUCUGCUCUUCAUUAGCAAUGUGUAUUUUAAUCUGCAUUAAAUAAAUGGUAUUGUCUUCCUAAAGCUCAGCAAAGACAAAGCAGUAAGACUUAAUUGUGGGAAGAUUGUCCAGAGUAUGUUAGGCAUCUGUGGAGACAUCUUUAAAUAGAGGACAAAUGAAUGGAAUAAGCUGUCCCAGCAGAAUGCUCUAAUACCAACCCAUUUUACUGGGAAGCCCUCUGUUAAUUCAAAGUAUACUAUUGUAUUUUUACUAUCUGCUUCUGUCUAUAGAUAUUUCAUUAACUGUAAGUGUAGUGGUUAAAAAGCUCCACACUUUAUCACCAGUCCUCUCUGCUAUUAGUCCAGUUACUCAUUUACAUUCGGGUUGCACAGGAUCUUGGUCACCAGUGCAAGCUGGAAAGAUGAGAAUUCCCACUCUGGACCAACUCAACAGUCUCUUAAGUCUUCUGAGAGUAGCUUCCAACAAAGCUACUCACAGGAAUAUGCUGUGAUGCAUAAUUGAGAAAUAAAGAACAGACGGGCCAGGAUUUUUCUAAAAUAGUUGGAGCUGAGCUAACAUCAAAGCAUAAGGCUUAAUUAGUGUCUAAGGUCAUGGGAUUCCAGUGGAUUUUAAAAGUGAUUUGUUUCACAUGAAGUUUUUUGCUCUCAGUGUAUUUCUUUUUCUACGUGGUUCUCAUCUCUGAUCCAUUUCACAUAAACAUAAACACAGGUGUACAGAUGAUGACAAGAAGAAAUAAAACUAUUUCCUUGAAAUAUUAGUUAAUUAUAUUCAAAAUUCAGCAUUGGCUGAGUGAGGAGAUGUCUUUACUGCUUAUGCCUCUAAAUCUCAGUAGGCUUCUCAGCGUUAGUCACUGUAGAUAGAUGUGUAUGUGUAGCUGGAGGAAAACAUAAUUAACAGUGUUUAGCGUAGCAGGCUUUGCUGAUUAUGGAAUCACUCAUUUUGUUUGAAUUACAAGGUUUUAUAUAUGUUCUUUAUGUCUCUCUGUGUCAUUUUUCUGCGGUGCUGUGCUACGGCGAGUUGGAGUAAUCUGGGUACUCUCAGAUACUUUGCUGACAUCAUUCCAUCAACUAAUAUGUGUUACUAUAAAGUGUCUAGUGGAUAAAACCUUACACAACAGACAGGACUAUGACUUUAUGAGCCAACACACAAGUGAAGGAUUUGGUGCUCAUUUCUGAACUAAGUUUUCCUCGUGACUCUCUGUAAACUUCAGUGUUUUGUUCACAAAGGCACUUGUGCCCAUUUGGCAUUUUAUGAAUAAUAAUAAUAAUCUGUUAACAUCUGUUAAUAAAUUGAAAAUGGUGUGUA